UCUCGAGGGAGCCCGCCGCGUGAGUGACGAAGGGUUUCGGCUCGUAGAGCUCUGUUGUUAAAGAACAACGUGGGUAAGAGUAACUGUUUACCCAGUGACGGUAUUUAACCAGAAAGCCACGGCUAACUACCUGCCAUCAGCCGCGGUAAUACGUAGGUGGAAAGCGUUAUCCGGAUUUAUUGGGCGUAAAGCGAGCGCAGGCGGUCUUUUAAGUCUAAUGUGAAAGCCUUCGGCUCAACCGAAUAAGUGCAUUGGAAACUGGGAGACUUGAGUGCAGAAGAGGACAGUGUAACUCCAUGUGUAGCGGUGAAAUGCGUAAAUAUAUGGAAGAACACCAGUGGCGAAGGCGGCUGUCUGGGCUGCCACUGACGCUGAGGCUCCAAAGCAUGGGUAGCGAACAGGAUUAGAUACCCUGGUAGUCCAUGCCGUAAACAAUGAUUACUAAAUGUUGUAGGGUUUCCGCCCUUCAGUGCUGCAGCUAAGGCAUUAAUUAAUCCGCCUGGGGAGUACGACCGCAAGGUUGAAACUCAAGAGAAUUGACGGGGGCCCGCACUAGCGGUGGAGCAUGUGGUUUAAUUCGAAGCUACGCAAAGAACCUUACCAGGUCUUGACAUCUUCUGACAGUCUAAGAGAUUAGAGGUUCCCUUCGGGGACAGAAUGACAGGUGGUGCAUGGUUGUCGUCAGCUCGUGUCGUGAGAUGUUGGGGUAAGUCCCGCAACUAGCGCAACCCACUAUUACUAGAUGCCAGCAUGAUGUUGGGCACUCUAGUGAGACUGCCCGUGACAAACCGGGAGGAAAGUGGGGACUACUUCAAAUCAUCAUGCCCCUUAUGACCUGGGCUACACACGUGCUACAAAGGAUGGUACCACGAGUCGAGAGACCGCGAGGUUAAGCUAAUCUCAUCAAAACCAUUCUCAGUACGGACUGUAGGCUAGCUACUCGUCCUACACGAAGUCAGGAAUAGCUAGCUAAUCGCUGUAUCGCAUGCUACCGAUAGAAUGCGUACACUGAGUACUUGUACCUCACGUCCGUCAUAACAAUGAGAGCUAGAAUAGCGAAGGCUGUGUCGCUAACCAUGUAGGGAGCUAGCCCG
Molecule: ribosomal RNA, 1094 nt
Filed under: Pediococcus pentosaceus
Lineage: Bacteria; Bacillati; Bacillota; Bacilli; Lactobacillales; Lactobacillaceae
Description: bacterial SSU rRNA
Rfam family: Bacterial small subunit ribosomal RNA
Source: RNAcentral